AUGAAGAAAGAGUUCUGCGAGCCGGAGCCGGUGAAGAAGUCCAAGCUGCAGAAGACGAAGAAGAACUUGAAAACGGUCGUCAAGAAACUGAAACCAAAGGCCUUGAAAAAGUCUCUAGUCAGCAAGCAGAAAGCCUUGAAGAAAAAGUUGUCCAAGCCGAAGCCGAAAGCUGCGGCAGACGACGAGAGCGACAAAGCUGUGGCGAAGCGCACCAAGGCUCUAGCCCUGAACGGUGCCAGACGGCAUCGAGUGGCCUCCCUGAAUGCCAUCGCCAAAGUGCACUGUCUCUACGAGAACGAGUCCCGCGGGGCCCUGACGGAGCUCCACGAAGACCUCGUCCAGAUCACGGAGGAAGGCCGCGACCCAGAGCGCGUCUUCAAGAAGAUGACCCAGGUCUCGAAGCGGAUCCUCCGCUCCGCCCCGGGCAUCCGCUCCGUGGGCCAACACUGGGACAUGAACGGGAGCUCCUCGGACUCGGGUUCCUCGGAGGAAGACGACAAGAGCGAGUCGGAGAAGAGCGAAGAGGAGGACGAGCCACCGAAGCCGGUGAAGAAGCGACGGCGUCAGGCCGAGUGCAAGAUGGACCUGAAGGAUAUGGUCGUCCGCAAGCGGAUGGCCAGCCUCAACGCCUCGGCCAUCCUGGCGGCGAGCUACUCCGUGGAGAAGCGGACCUCCACGUCGACGGUGUCGGUUCGCGAGGCGUCGGCGACGGCGCCGGCCAGCAAGCGGAAAGGGCCCUCCUCGGCGGUGGCCGUCAAGGAAGCCACCCCGGCCAAGCGGAAGGUGGAGGUCAUCGUGACCCAGGACACGGACGUGACCAUCACCGGAGUCUACGUGGACUCGACAACGCGGAGUGCGCGCUCCGAGUACAGCAUGAAGUACCGCAUCUCCAGCACCAGCCAUACGCAGACGGAGGCUGUGUCAACGGAGACACUCAUCCACGCUGAGUGCGAUCGGCCAUCCUCGUCAGGAACACCGCCGACACUAGCGGAGCAUCCUCAUCCUCAUCCCCAUCCCCAUGCCCACGCCCACAGCCACCCUCACCUGCACCCACACCCGCACGCCCACCCCCACCCACACGCCCAUCCUCACCCUCACCCUCACCCACACCCACACCCUCACCCGCAUGUCCAUGCUCAUCCGCAUCAGCACGAGCACCCGCCGACGCAGCCUCAGCAGCAGCCCAAGACGUACACGCCGCUGAACGCGCUGUCGAGCAUGCAGCCGCCCGGGAACCCGGGUUCCACCACCGAGUCGCCGCCCGCCCCUCCGCCCCCGCCGGGCCCCGGCCACGCUUCCAUGCCGGCCAACAUCCCGCGCUGCAAUUCCGCCUUCUCCGCGCCACCCAACUUCCCCCCGACGCCUGUUCUCAACAAGGACUCAUCCUACAUUCACGGGUACUACCAACCUGCCGGACCGCUGAUUUCAUCUCACCACGUGCAUCACAGCCAGUCCGUCUCGAGCCUGACCCCAGACACGAAACACGUGCCCCUAGCCGAACAGACCCCACCUCCGACCCCCAGCAGAUCCACCUCGGACACGACCGAGUCGGAAGUCAUCAUCACCUCCUCCUCUUCCUCCUCAUGUCCCCUGGUCCGAGCCCCUGCUACCGGUACCCCCAUCCACAUCCCCCACAUCAGUCCCCCUAUCCAUACUCCUAUCCCCACUCGUUUUACCCCUCGCCUCCCGCCUCCUCAAAUCCCCACCAGUACCCCUCGCAAACACCCCUCGCCGCAUCCCCACUCGCCUCGCCCUACCACCCGGAGCUCUGCUACCCUCCCUCGACCUCACCCGCGCCCCACUACUUCCAUCCCCACAAAGGACCCUACGGUCCCCCCACCCCGGCGGCGAUCAGCUACCGGAGGUAUGUCACCCCCUCGCAAGUUCCUCCGCACCCGCAGGUUCCUCCUCACCCGUCUCAGGUUCCUCCCCAUCCGCAAUACUAUCAGGAACCCUAUCCAUCCUCGGUGUACUACACGUCGAGUCCGAGUAAUCCUCCGCCGGUGGGUCAGCAGCAGAUGUUGGUGCCGUCGGGGGCUCUGGAGAACUACGUGGCGCCCCCCGCGCCUCCGGCCACGCACGCCGCGGCCGACCCCUACGCUCAUCACGGCUACUACCCCCCGCACGGGUACAACGGCACGGUCAUCGCCCCACCUUGUUAUCCUCACCACCAUCCUACUAGGAGCUUAG
This 2190-nucleotide long non-coding RNA is filed under the name Bemisia tabaci. RNAcentral's name for it is "lncRNA ENSSSA2NGG009284". The record is from RNAcentral. Lineage: Eukaryota; Metazoa; Arthropoda; Insecta; Hemiptera; Aleyrodidae.